This 65-nucleotide transfer RNA is filed under the name Hylarana sp. C MS-2010. RNAcentral's name for it is "partial tRNA-Val". The record is from RNAcentral. Lineage: Eukaryota; Metazoa; Chordata; Amphibia; Anura; Ranidae.
UGUAGCUAUAACUAAAGCCCCCCGCUUACACCGUGGUCAUGCCUGUUCAACCCAGACCAUUUUGA